Ictalurus furcatus (blue catfish) is the source of this 2245-nucleotide long non-coding RNA. RefSeq lists it as uncharacterized. The record is from RefSeq and is a predicted model, not a curated record. Lineage: Eukaryota; Metazoa; Chordata; Actinopteri; Siluriformes; Ictaluridae. The transcript has 4 exons.
ACACAGAGAGGGAGCGCGUAAAGGGCCAAAGAGAUCAUGAGGACUGAAGGCUAACAGGACAGAUAAAAUGAUAUAUUUUAGGAAUAUUAAUCUUGUGCUGGCUUUUAUUUGAGGACAGGGACUAUUCGAGUCUAAAGGAGCUAAAUGAAUGACAACCCUACAAAACGGCAGCACAGGCAACUCUGCUGAUGACGUUGAAUAAAUGCUCAGGCUUCGUUAAUACAAAUGUGCUGAGCUGUGAUUCAGAGUGCAAUAAAAACCAAACUGCCUCUCUUUAUUCGUUUGCUAACAUGUUAACCUAUUCUUUGUUCAUUAUCAGGUCUGCUCUUACGAGAUGUUCCUCGUUACUUGUGUCGUGUGUGAUGGGGUCGGUUGCUAUCUUUGGUUAUCUAGCUGUAUGAGUGUUUCUCCUCCGUCAUAAAGCUAGAUAACCGAAAGUAGGAGCGGUCUCCUGUACUGCGCACUGCUCCGGCACUACAGCAUGAGCAGGAAAAAUACUGACCACUGCGUGGAGAUCUAUCAUAGGGAAGCUCCUUCCUGACCGCAGUGUUUGCUUGAGAGACCGGACCACCAUGCGCUAGAACACCAUGUGCCUCCUCCCUCCAUCAACGGAAGCAUUCGGUGCCAUGUGUGCCCCCCGGAGCAGAGGGCGGGAGAAGAGAAAAAUGAUGUGCAAGAGGCUACAGUUCGUGUGCCAGUGGAGACAAAGAGGCUGCCAGUCGCCACGAUCCCCACAGAUGCUGAAGAUUGGAGCUCUGAAUGAGGGGCUGUGCUUUGAGGAAGCCAUCUUGAUGGAAAUGCUGGCUGCCUGCUUCCUAAAAUGGCUGUGUUGGCAUGAGGGACUAUGCUGAGGACAAGAUUGAGCCGAAUGGAGAGUAUAUCCUAUUCCAAAGUCCCUGGCCAUUCUCAUAUAGAUCAGCUACUCUGGUCCCUGAUAUAUAAUGACUGCUUCUGGCUAUCUCAUAGCGGACAAUCAAAACAAGUAAAGCAUAUCAUAUUAGAAAACUCAUAUAAAACCUGUUUUGCUUCUUGAAUAAACAUGUCAAUCUGUAUAAAACUGAACAAUGUGUAUUUUCUAAGCUGCAAAGGGCAUAUGCUAAGUAUUUAUUGAUCGUUUUAGACUGUGCAGAAUGCUGGAUAAUGAAAAUGUGCCUUACUGUGUGAACUGUUUACAGUAAAACCGUAGUUUGCUAUUAAUGACGUUCAAUAGACAAGUGUAUAGUUAAUGAACAUGGGAGUCAUUUCUGUUGCCCCUGUUUUAAUUGUGCCUUCAGUGUUUCAUUGUCUCUGUGAAUAAAUUAAAUGUAUUCCGUUCCAUGAUGAAUGAACGAAAUCUAUUAAAACCUGUCUUUCAGUUUUACUUGAAAUUUCAGUUGAACAAGAAGGCAUUCUUUGAUUUUUUUUUAUUUCUUUAAUUUUUUUGCAUAAUGCUCAGCAUUUCAAUCUCUAAUUUUACUGUGCUAAAUAUAGCAGAAAUUAGAGCUAUAACAGUUUCAGUGGCUCUAUUGUUUAACAGUAUAUGUUUUCUUUACUCAAUGUUAGAUAAAUAAGAUUCAAUAAACAUGUGAACUAUAAAACUGAUAUUUAUGAGUUGGAUUGUUAUUCCCAAAGCUAGUAGGUUAAAUAUUUUUGGUAAAUAAUAUGCCAUAGUUGUAGAUCGGCACCCUGGACAUCCACAAUGCAUAGCACACAAGGUACUUUACACCAAAUUUCUAAUUCAAACAGUAGUCUUCUGCUUAAAACACCUGCAUCAUUAAAAUCAUGAUUCAAUCAACAAUUAAAUAAUUAAUGGCAGUACCAUGGCAAUGAUGAUCUUUAAAUGUGUACUAGGUAAUGAGUCCUUCAUGUGGGACCACAGCAGGUCUUGCUUUUAAAUCCACAUAUUAUGUAUAUGAAUUAACUACCACUGAAGUACAUCAGUAAAAAUAAAUACAAAAAAUACAAAUAUAUCAGCUGUAAAGUAAUACAUUUAAUGAUUUGUUUUAUUGUGCUCAAACGAAACCGAAUAACAAUUUCAAUUAAAAAAAAUCACGAAAACAGGUAGUAUAUUUAAGCAGCCACAUUAUCUCAGUAGUUUUAAUGCACUUCUCAGCAUAUUAUGAAUACAUUUUGCAGCCUUUUGAGAAAAAUAUAAUGAUAUGUCAUCAUCGUAAAACAAGAAAAUAUCACACUGACGCAAAUCUAAGCAAAUAGUAUACUCUCUUACAGUUAUGGUUUUAUAAAACAUUGAAAUUAUAUGCCUAUU